Molecule: transfer RNA, 77 nt
Filed under: Bacillota bacterium
Lineage: Bacteria; Bacillati; Bacillota
Also listed under: 2 other names
Description: tRNA-Val
Rfam family: tRNA
About the family: Transfer RNA (tRNA) molecules are approximately 80 nucleotides in length.
Source: RNAcentral
GGGCGAUUAGCUCAGCAGGUUAGAGCGCUUGCCUCACAUGCAAGAGGUCGGGGGUUCGAAUCCCUCAUCGCCCACCA